Molecule: ribosomal RNA, 468 nt
Filed under: uncultured bacterium
Lineage: Bacteria
Description: partial 16S ribosomal RNA
Rfam family: Bacterial small subunit ribosomal RNA
Source: RNAcentral
GACGAACGCUGGCGGCGUGCUUAACACAUGCAAGUCGAACGGAAAGGCCCUGCUUUUGUGGGGUGCUCGAGUGGCGAACGGGUGAGUAACACGUGAGUAACCUGCCCUUGACUUUGGGAUAACUUCAGGAAACUGGGGCUAAUACCGGAUAGGAGCUCCUGCUGCUUGGUGGGGGUUGGAAAGUUUCGGCGGUUGGGGAUGGACUCGCGGCGUAUCAGCUUGUUGGUGGGGUAGUGGCUUACCAAGGCUUUGACGGGUAGCCGGCCUGAGAGGGUGACCGGCCACAUUGGGACUGAGAUACGGCCCAGACUCCUACGGGAGGCAGCAGUGGGGAAUAUUGCACAAUGGGCGGAAGCCUGAUGCAGCAACGCCGCGUGGGGGAUGACGGCCUUCGGGUUGUAAACCGCUUUCGCCUGUGACGAAGCGUGAGUGACGGUAAUGGGUAAAGAAGCACCGGCUAACUACGUG